This 619-nucleotide long non-coding RNA is filed under the name Chrysemys picta bellii (western painted turtle). RNAcentral's name for it is "lncRNA (ENSCPBG00000021995.1)". The record is from RNAcentral. Lineage: Eukaryota; Metazoa; Chordata; Testudines; Emydidae.
AUGGACUGUCUCCAUACAGCCUUGCAAUCAACCAAUCUCCUGUCAGGAAACGGAACCAAUGAAGAAUCCCGAGAUGAGUUGAGACUGGCAGUUUGUUUCAACAUGACAAGAAUAAGGAAAGGCGGUUCCCCGUUUUAUAUGUUUGUUAAAAAUUGGAACAAAGAUACACUCAGGAGAUCAGCGCUCUAUGCCAUGAUCACAUCCUGCUUGGAACUGCUCUUGUUCCUUCCCUGUUUCUUUCCCUUUCUCGGGCCCAAAUUCAGAUACAAUGAUACAAAUGAUGGUACAAACUGGACACCAGUAAACAAGGGAGAGUGGACAUAACUUACUUGCUAAUGGGGCAGAUAGGCAGGGCUGGGGCAGGAAAAGCAGCUAAGUGGAUGGUAAGAUAAGGCCCCCUGUAGCUGGGAGGGGUGACUCAGCAGACACACAGCAUUAGUCAGGAGCUAAUCUCUAUCACUAUGACACAAAGCCCUGCCGUGCUUCAGGAUCAAGCCGGUCCUUAGAACCAGGGUGCCAACCUAUUCCUCCCCAAAAGCCAUCUCCUUUUCCAGGCUCCCUAAGUACCUGUGGGAGCGGAGGGAAGCCAGUUAACCCCUCGCUCAUGGGGGAGCAAGGA